AUUGAACGCUGGCGGCAUGCUUUACACAUGCAAGUCGAACGGUAACAGGUUAAGCUGACGAGUGGCGAACGAGUGAGUAAUGCAUCGGAACGUGCCCGGUCGUGGGGGAUAACGUAGCGAAAGUUACGCUAAUACCGCAUACGAUCUAAGGAUGAAAGUGGGGGAUCGCAAGACCUCGCGCGAUUGGAGCGGCCGAUAUCAGAUUAGGUAGUUGGUGGGGUAAAGGCUCACCAAGCCAACGAUCUGUAGCUGGUCUGAGAGGACGACCAGCCACACUGGAGCUGAGACGCGGUCCAGACUCCUACGGGAGGCAGCAGUGGGGAAUUUUGGACAAUGGACGCAAGUCUGAUCCAGCCAUUCCGCGUGCAGGAUGAAGCCCUCGGGUUGUAAACUGCUUUUGUACGGAGCGAAAAGGUCUCCUCUAAUACAGGGGGCUCAUGACGGUACCGUAAGAAUAAGCACCGGCUAACUACGUGCCAGCCGCCGCCGUAA
This 492-nucleotide ribosomal RNA is filed under the name uncultured bacterium. RNAcentral describes it as "partial 16S ribosomal RNA". It matches the Rfam family "Bacterial small subunit ribosomal RNA", at positions 30 to 523 of the family's 1533-position model. The record is from RNAcentral.